AUUGAACGCUGGCGGCAUGCCUUACACAUGCAAGUCGAACGCGAAAGCGGAGCAAUCCGCAAGUAGAGUGGCGAACGGGUGAGUAAUACAUCGGAACAUUUCCAGUAGCGGGGGAUAACCUGUCGAAAGAUAGGCUAAUACCGCAUACGCCCUACGGGGGAAAGCGGAGGACCGCAAGGCUUCGCAGUAUUGGAGUGGUCGAUAUAAGAUUAGCUAGUUGGUGGGGUAAAGGCCUACCAAGGCGACGAUCUUUAGCGGGUCUGAGAGGACGAUCCGCCACACUGGGACUGAGACACGGCCCAGACUCCUACGGGAGGCAGCAGUGGGGAAUUUUGGACAAUGGGGGCAACCCUGAUCCAGCAAUGCCGCGUGAGUGAAUAAGGCCUUCGGGUUGUAAAGCUCUUUUGUCGGGGAAGAAAGGUACGAUGAUAAUACCAUUGUGCGUUGACGGUACCCGAAGAAUAAGCACCGGCUAACUACGUGCCAGCCGCCGCCGUAA
RNAcentral lists this ribosomal RNA (499 nucleotides) under uncultured bacterium. RNAcentral describes it as "partial 16S ribosomal RNA". It matches the Rfam family "Bacterial small subunit ribosomal RNA", at positions 30 to 523 of the family's 1533-position model. The record is from RNAcentral.